CAAAUGGUCACAGGGUUCGCGGGAGAUCGGAGUUCGAUUCUCCGACAGGAAGUUCUUUUUUUGCUUUUCUUGUUUCUUCUUUUCCUUUUUGGCCAUUUGAAACGUACUUACGAGUUUUGUUUCACUAGAGACCGACGGCAAUGGAAGUCAUUGCUACGCCCCCUAAAAGCACAUGACAUGCGAUUUCUACUUACAUUUAAUAUGAUUGAUUGGAGCGAAAAGGUGAAAUCAUUGACGGUUGUGCCUGGGUUGGCGCAGGUCUCCAUACAGCACCCUGCUGAGUCCGAUUCCGAUAAUAGGAGAACAGAUAGGGAAACUGGCGUAUAGUAAAUAUUUCUUUUACGUUUCGCUAGUCGGAUGCAACUAGCAAUCUAAGCCAAGCUAAGGAAUGCUCGGUCAGUACCACAGUAGGGACUACGUGGGAAUCCCAGGUCUCUUUUCGCAUCUUUUAGUAUAUGGCGGAACGACUGUGACAUAAUUUCUUUUUACUGGCAUGAACCUCACUCAUCCUAC
This 513-nucleotide small RNA is filed under the name Cryptococcus neoformans H99. RNAcentral describes it as "Cryptococcus neoformans var. grubii H99 hypothetical RNA". The record is from RNAcentral. Lineage: Eukaryota; Fungi; Basidiomycota; Tremellomycetes; Tremellales; Cryptococcaceae.